UGCAGCACUGAUGUGUACAUGUGUUUCCUGUCAGUCUCACCCCUUGUAUCCCUGGUGGGAAAGAGUACUGUAUGAUAAUGGAUCCGCAGCCCUCAAAGCCCGGCACACUCUGCCAGCUGCGGGUCACCAGCAUCACUCCCUCCGGCUGAGUCCCCGUGUACACCCCGUGGCAGAUGGCACAGUCCUCCGCCGGGUUGUUGUUCCGAGUUUCUUCCAUCAUUGUCUGCUCCUGACAAGUUUCUCUUCCGUGUGUGGAUGCAGAGGAGAGGCGGCGUCAAGGAGGUCAGCUGCCGGUGUCGAUCCACGUCUGCUGAUUGAUUUAAGUUUUGUUACCGUUUACAGGAAAAUCUCACCCACAUACAAGACACAGACUGUUAAAUUCAUUUUCCCGGCAUGAAAAAAAGGUUUAAAGUUCUUUUCAGGAAGUUGGAGAACCUGAAGAAACCCCACAUAUGCACAGGGAGAACAUGCAAACUCCAAGCAGAAAGAUCCCAGGCCCUGACUGGGACACAAACCGGGGAUCUUCUACCUUUGAGGCAACAGAGCUGACCACUGAGGCACUGCACAGCCCCCUGAUGUACAAAAUGAGAUUUACAGAUGCAACACAUCUUUAAAUAACUGACAGUAUGUCCCGACACCUUCAAAUGGACAGAAGAAACCAGCUUCAUACUCAGACAAUGAAGGCAACACUAACUGAAGACCACCGUGACUGAUUGAUGAAAUCUGCAACUGCUGAAAAUUCUGCACAUAAACAAGCUUUUUCUGAAGGAGCACGUGAUGCAGGUGACAGCAUGCAGAGACCUGCCAGCAGUUUCACACUAUGCCACAGGUAAUAAUAAAUAGGGAUGUCCGAUAUUGGCAUAAAAAUGUAAUGUCGGUCAAUAUCAUUAUUGUUUUUCUUUUGCCUAUCAUGAAAACUGAUAAAAUAAUGCCUGGAUUUCGCCUACAUCAUCAAACUGCGUUGUGAAGCCUGUAAACAAGUGUGGCUGCAGAGACAAGCUUGCUGUGCCUGACUGACAAUGUGUCUGUUGUUUGGAAUUCUAAAUUAAUUAAAUAGCCCACAUAUAUCAGUAUCGGUUGAUAUCAGAAUCGGAAAUUGAGAGUUGGACGAUAUUGGCAUAACGGUUAUUGGCAGAAAAGCCGAUAUUGGACAUCCCUAUAAAUAAAGUUUCAAUUAUUCUAAUUAAGAAUUUGAAUCAAAUUUUUGUAUGAUGAAAGAAAGUUAUUCAGCAAAGGGCUAAAAAGUAACACAGGAUACCCUCAAGUGUAUUUCAGAUUCUUGUAUUUUGCUUAAUUUCUCCAUUUCAUUCUGAGUUAUACUUUUUAGUACUGUAUACAUUUAUGCUCACAAUUACUAGUUAAGCUGCUUUUACAGUUAAAAUUAUAAAUGCAAAACAUAUAUCUAAACAUAUAUCUAUACAAUAGAUGUUCAUGAUUAGUUCCAGCUUGAGCAGGUACAACAGCUGAACUCCUACUGUGUAUUAAAUGAUAGGUUUUCAAGGUAUGGUAUAGCAAGGAUUCUACUCGUAUAUCUAUCAGGCAAU
Amphiprion ocellaris (clown anemonefish) is the source of this 1544-nucleotide long non-coding RNA. RefSeq lists it as uncharacterized. The record is from RefSeq and is a predicted model, not a curated record. NCBI's taxonomy places the organism in Eukaryota, Metazoa, Chordata, Actinopteri, Pomacentridae. The transcript is spliced from 5 exons.